CCAGACUUGAGCUGGGUUGGCUUGUGGAGAGGAGCCCACCAGAGUCCGAAUCUUAGAUCCUUGAGAGUCGUCACUGGGGAUCCAGCACUGUUAGAAAUGGUGGCUUUGGACGAGUGGUGAUGGCGCACGCCUUUAAUACCAGCACUCGGGCAGCAGUGUCAGGUGGAUCUAUGUGAGUUCAAGGACCAGCCUGGUCUACAAGAGCUAGUUCCAGGACGGCCUCCAAAGCCACAGAGAAACCCUGUCUCGAAAAACCAAGAAAAAAAAAGAAAGAAAGAAAUGAUGGCUUUGGCUGGAGAGGUGGACAACCUGGUAGUUGCUCAGUCCACAAGGCUGGUUCCUCAGCAUCCCCUAUCAGGUGCCUAGAAGGUUCCUGGAGAGCUUCUGGUCCUUAGUCCACAAUGAAA
This 407-nucleotide long non-coding RNA is filed under the name Cricetulus griseus (Chinese hamster). RNAcentral describes it as "lncRNA (ENSCGRG00015034241.1)". Lineage: Eukaryota; Metazoa; Chordata; Mammalia; Rodentia; Cricetidae. The record is from RNAcentral.